AAAAGCUUAAGUUAAAAAAACUAAGGGCCUUCAAAGCCCUAAACAAGGACUGACCCUCCUUAGCUUUUG
Molecule: transfer RNA, 69 nt
Filed under: Eutropis rudis (rough mabuya)
Lineage: Eukaryota; Metazoa; Chordata; Lepidosauria; Squamata; Scincidae
Description: tRNA-Trp
Source: RNAcentral